CUAUUAGUGGGGGACAACUCGAGGAAACUCGAGCUAAUACCGCAUACGCCCUACGGGGGAAAGCGGGGGAUCUUUCGGGACCUCGCGCUAAUAGAUGAGCCUAAGCCGGAUUAGCUUGUUGGUGGGGUAAUGGCCUACCAAGGCGACGAUCCGUAGCUGGUCUGAGAGGAUGAUCAGCCACACUGGGACUGAGACACGGCCCAGACUCCUACGGGAGGCAGCAGUAGGGAAUAUUGCACAAUGGGCGAAAGCCUGAUGCAGCAAUGCCGCGUGUGUGAAGAAGGCCUGAGGGUUGUAAAGCACUUUCAAUAGUGAAGAAAAGCACAGGGUUAAUAAC
This 337-nucleotide ribosomal RNA is filed under the name uncultured Pseudomonadota bacterium. RNAcentral describes it as "bacterial SSU rRNA". It matches the Rfam family "Bacterial small subunit ribosomal RNA", at positions 130 to 473 of the family's 1533-position model. Lineage: Bacteria; Pseudomonadati; Pseudomonadota. The record is from RNAcentral.